UCCGGUCUAUCCGAAUUAUAGAAAGGCUUUAUAGAAAGUGUAGAACAUUCUAGUUCUAUGUAAUCACGUGUGUUGUUGCACGGUAGCAUUUGCCUAUUUCGUGGUAGCACGUACCGUAGCGUACUUGGGGCCACCAGCGCAUUUCGGGGUGGUGCUGUACUUUGUGCGCGACCUACUGGUUUUGUGGUGGUGCGCUGCUGCACUGUUUAGGAUCGUGCAGGGGGUGGUGCAGGCUCCCUAUUUUUCAGUUUGUUUAAGUUAACGGCAAGCAGUACCAAAUGCCGCGUUCAUGUGACGUCCUUGGGUGCCCUAACGGAACGCGCUGGACCAAAAGCAGCUCGGCCUCUGACCCCAACGUGAUUUACCACUGGGUGCCGGAUAAGGAACCCCGACGUUCCGAAUGGCUGAGUGCCGUGCCCAUUCGACGCUGGGGACGAAGCGAGUCCAGAAGGCUCGUCGUGUGCUCGCUGCAUUUUCGCCCAGGGGACUACGAAGUCAAUGCCUUCCUAAGCAAGUCGCUAGGGCUGGCCCGCAAAGCAGUGCUUUCACGUAACGCCGUUCCGUCAGUCUUGCCGGACUGCUUCGGAAAGCAAGAAGCGCAGCCGGAGGUUCCCAGUGGCACGGCCACUCUUACAUGGGCCCGAGAUGUGGAGAACCAAACGAACUUUCAAGAGAGCCUAGCUAUGAAAAUUGGCCUCUGCGCCGGACAUGCGAAACAAGUUCAGUGUUGUCUGCUCGCCCCUAGCGCGAGUAUUGGAGUUCAAGUGAACACAACAGUAAAGGACAGCAAAGAGAGAGGAACCCAAGUUGACAUGAUGAGUGCACCAGCUGCGUCAUAACAUUCUGUGUGAGCCAGAUGAUUUGACUCGCACCUUGGAUCCAACGUUUGGCGACCAGCAAUUGACAUGUCCAGUGCCCAGGAACUUCGCUGGUUUCAUGUAUUGCCAGCCAGACACCUGUGAUGGUGCUGAGGAUUUCCAGCAAGCUGGCCUGGUUCCCAUGGCCCUAGUUGCUGCUGACAAUCAUCAGGCGACAAAUUCGUAACCGGCAGACCUGGAUGAUGCAACAGAUCUCAGCUUGACAGGCCAAGGACAAAGGCUGCAGCUUGGUGCCAAGCCCAGACUAACAGCUCAAUCGCUGUCUGUUGAGUCUCAAAACCUUCAUCUGAAGCUGAAGCGGAAGGUGAAACGCCCCUAGAACUGCCACGUGGAACUCCCACGACGGCUGUCGUGUUACGGAUAAGCAUACCAUGACGGCCGUUUGGAAUACCGUCGGCGCAGACCAAGUGCCAUGACUUGGACAUGAAAGCAUGGUCCAUAGACAAGAUUGACAAAGUGUUGUGUCCUAUUGUGUUGUGUCCUGUUUUGCUCCGGCCCGUCUCAUCUCCAAUGCGACCGGCUAGCACUCCAGAUCGGUUUCAGGGAACAUGCUCCACAGCGGGGGACCCUCUUUACUACAGGGCACAAGAACAACUCGAUUUUGUCAGUUUGGCUUCUGCCUUCAACGGUGUUCGACACAACAAAGAAGCUUUUAACUGUUCUCAGCUGUCUCUGCCUUUUGGACUACCACGAGUUACAUGGACAUCCAUGUGCAACGAUGCCUGCAGACAUAAGAGAAUGCUUUGUAACUUCGCGUUGUCCUAGGGUCAGAAAUGUCGCAGCCUCCUAACUGUUGUGCGUGAAGUCAUCCCCUGCCUGCCGCAUGGACAAAACGAGAAUGCAGUUUGAUUUUAUCAGAGUACAUAUGACAGUGCUGGGUGCCCACCGUUAUGCAAAAUUGUUAAAAAUGCCUGAAAUUUGAAGUGGCCAGCUUCAAGGCACAAAAGAAAAAGUACUUGUGAUAGCAGACCGAGAAUGCAGCAGUUUGCUGCCUUUUUAUUUUUGGCAUAAGUUAUAAGAAAAGUGCUGCUCAAAGUAUACAAGUGUGAAUUCUCCAUUAAAGCUCUGUCAUAAUUUCUGUGA
This is an RNA transcript of Dermacentor silvarum, 1961 nucleotides long. RefSeq lists it as uncharacterized. The record is from RefSeq and is a predicted model, not a curated record. NCBI's taxonomy places the organism in Eukaryota, Metazoa, Arthropoda, Arachnida, Ixodida, Ixodidae. The transcript has 5 exons.